RNAcentral lists this ribosomal RNA (749 nucleotides) under uncultured euryarchaeote. RNAcentral describes it as "bacterial SSU rRNA". It matches the Rfam family "Archaeal small subunit ribosomal RNA", at positions 83 to 834 of the family's 1478-position model. Lineage: Archaea; Methanobacteriati; Methanobacteriota. The record is from RNAcentral.
AACGGCUCAGUAACACGUAGUUAAUCUACCCUUAUGUCGGAAAUAACCUCGGGAAACUGAGGAUAAUAUCCGAUGGAGAAUAUUUUCUGGAAUGAUAAAUUCUCAAAAUUCGAGCAUAAGGAUGAGACUGCGGCUGAUUAGGUAGUUGGCGGGGUAAAUGCCCACCAAGCCGAUGAUCAGUAAGGGCUCUUAGCGGAGAGGCCCUGAGAAGGAAUCUGAGACACUAUUCCUAGCCCUAUGGGGUGCAGCAGUUAGGGAACUUCUACAAUGCGCGAAAGCGUGAUAGAGCGAGCCAGAGUGUUUUUGGAAUUUUUCCAAAAACUUUUGCUUUUUGUAAAAAGAAAGGCGAAUAAGGACUGGGCAAGAUCGGUGCCAGCCGCCGCGGUAAUCCCGACGGUCCGAGUCGCAGCCACAAUUAUUGGGUCUAAAACAUUCGUAGCUUGUUUCGUAAGUUCCUUGUGAAAUCUUAACUCUUAAGGUUAAGGCGUGCAAGGAAUACUGCAAAACUAGAGACCGGAAGAAGCAAGAAGUAUGAUUGAGGUAGUGAUAAAAUACGUUAAUCUUAAUCAGACUAACAAGAGCGAAGGCAUCUUGCUAGUACGGAUCUGACAGUGAGGAAUGAAGGCUAGGGGCGCAAAAGGGAUUAGAUACCCCUGUAGUCCUAGCUGUAAACACUGCUCACUAAACAUUAGUACCUCUUCGAGAGGUAUUAGUGCUGUAGAGAAGUCGAAGAGUGAGCUACCUGGAAG